UACGUAGGUGACAAGCGUUGUCCGGAUUUAUUGGGCGUAAAGAGCGUGUAGGCGGCCAGGUAGGUCUGGUGUGAAAACUCGAGGCUUAACCUCGAGAUGUCAUCGGAAACCAUCUGGCUAGAGUCCGGAAGAGGAGAGUGGAAUUCCUGGUGUAGCGGUGAAAUGCGCAGAUAUCAGGAAGAACACCAAUGGCGAAGGCAGCUCUCUGGGACGGUACUGACGCUGAGACGCGAAAGCGUGGGGAGCGAACAGG
Molecule: ribosomal RNA, 253 nt
Filed under: uncultured bacterium
Lineage: Bacteria
Description: partial 16S ribosomal RNA
Rfam family: Bacterial small subunit ribosomal RNA
Source: RNAcentral